GACGAACGCUGGCGGCGUGCUUAACACAUGCAAGUCGAGCGGUAAGGCCCUUUCGGGGGUACACGAGCGGCGAACGGGUGAGUAACACGUGGGUGACCUGCCCUCAGCUCUGGGAUAGGCCUGGGAAACCGGGUCUAAUACUGGAUAUGACUCCAUGACGCAUGUUGUGGGGUGGAAAGCCUUGUGCGGCUGAGGAUGGGCCCGCGGCCUAUCAGCUUGUUGGUGGGGNGAUGGCCUACCAAGGCGACGACGGGUAGCCGGCCUGAGAGGGCGACCGGCCACACUGGGACUGAGACACGGCCCAGACUCCUACGGGAGGCAGCAGUGGGGAAUCUUGCGCAAUGGGCGAAAGCCUGACGCAGCGACGCCGCGUGAGGGAUGACGGCCU
This 388-nucleotide ribosomal RNA is filed under the name uncultured bacterium. RNAcentral's name for it is "bacterial SSU rRNA". It matches the Rfam family "Bacterial small subunit ribosomal RNA", at positions 28 to 417 of the family's 1533-position model. The record is from RNAcentral.